AGUGGCAGACGGGUGAGUAACACGUGGGAACAUGCCCAAAGGUACGGAACAACUUCGGGAAACUGGAGCUAAUACCGUAUGUGCCCGAAAGGGGAAAGAUUUAUCGCCUUUGGAUUGGCCCGCGUCGGAUUAGCUAGUUGGUGGGGUAAUGGCCUACCAAGGCGACGAUCCGUAGCUGGUCUGAGAGGACGACCAGCCACACUGGGACUGAGACACGGCCCAGACUCCUACGGGAGGCAGCAGUGGGGAAUCUUGGACAAUGGGCGAAAGCCUGAUCCAGCCAUGCCGCGUGGAUGAUGAAGGCCCUAGGGUUGUAAAAUCCUUUCGUUGGGGACGAUAAUGACGGUACCCAAAGAAGAAGCUCCGGCUAACUUCGUGCCAGCAGCCGCGGUAAUACGAAGGGGGCUAGCGUUGUUCGGAUUUACUGGGCGUAAAGCGCAUGUAGGCGG
RNAcentral lists this ribosomal RNA (449 nucleotides) under uncultured Alphaproteobacteria bacterium. RNAcentral describes it as "bacterial SSU rRNA". It matches the Rfam family "Bacterial small subunit ribosomal RNA", at positions 94 to 578 of the family's 1533-position model. The record is from RNAcentral. Lineage: Bacteria; Pseudomonadati; Pseudomonadota; Alphaproteobacteria.